CCUACGGGAGGCAGCAGUGAGGAAUAUUGGUCAAUGGACGAAAGUCUGAACCAGCCAAGUCGCGUGAAGGAUGACGGCCCUAUGGGUUGUAAACUUCUUUUAUAUGGGAAUAAACUGUGCCACGUGUGGGAUUUUGUAUGUACCAUAUGAAUAAGGAUCGGCUAACUCCGUGCCAGCAGCCGCGGUAAUACGGAGGAUCCGAGCGUUAUCCGGAUUUAUUGGGUUUAAAGGGUGCGUAGGUGGUUUGUUAAGUCAGUGGUGAAAGUUUGGGGCUCAACCGUAGAAUUGCAGUUGAAACUGGCAGUCUUGAGUACAGUAGAGGUAUGCGGAAUGCGUGGUGUAGCGGUGAAAUGCUUAGAUAUCACGAAGAACGCCGAUUGCGAAGGCAGCUCACCGGACUGCAACUGACGCUGAGGCACGAAAGCGUGGGGAUCAAACAGGAUUAGAUACCCUUGUAGUC
This 460-nucleotide ribosomal RNA is filed under the name uncultured bacterium. Its description in RNAcentral is "partial 16S ribosomal RNA". It matches the Rfam family "Bacterial small subunit ribosomal RNA", at positions 338 to 795 of the family's 1533-position model. The record is from RNAcentral.